This 253-nucleotide ribosomal RNA is filed under the name uncultured bacterium. RNAcentral's name for it is "partial 16S ribosomal RNA". It matches the Rfam family "Bacterial small subunit ribosomal RNA", at positions 524 to 776 of the family's 1533-position model. The record is from RNAcentral.
UACAGAGGUCUCAAGCGUUGUUCGGAUUCAUUGGGCGUAAAGGGUGCGUAGGUGGCGAGUCAAGUCAGAUGUGAAAUCCCGGGGCUCAACCCCGGAACUGCAUUUGAAACUGCCUUGCUCGAGUACUGGAGAGGAGACUGGAAUUUACGGUGUAGCAGUGAAAUGCGUAGAUAUCGUAAGGAAGACCAGUGGCGAAGGCGAGUCUCUGGACAGUUACUGACACUGAGGCACGAAGGCCAGGGGAGCAAACGGG